Molecule: ribosomal RNA, 431 nt
Filed under: bacterium 18-L049641-122-013-B03
Lineage: Bacteria
Description: bacterial SSU rRNA
Rfam family: Bacterial small subunit ribosomal RNA
Source: RNAcentral
GAGCUUGCUCCUUGAUUUAGCGGCGGACGGGUGAGUAAUGCCUAGGACUCUGCCUGGUAGUGGGGGAUAACGUUCCGAAAGGAACGCUAAUACCGCAUACGUCCUACGGGAGAAAGCAGGGGACCUUCGGGCCUUGCGCUAUCAGAUGAGCCUAGGUCGGAUUAGCUAGUUGGUGAGGUAAUGGCUCACCAAGGCGACGAUCCGUAACUGGUCUGAGAGGAUGAUCAGUCACACUGGAACUGAGACACGGCCCAGACUCCUACGGGAGGCAGCAGUGGGGAAUAUUGGACAAUGGGCGAAAGCCUGAUCCAGCCAUGCCGCGUGUGUGAAGAAGGUCUUCGGAUUGUAAAGCACUUUAAGUUGGGAGGAAGGGCAGUAAGCUAAUACCCUGCUGUUUUGACGUUACCUACCGAAUAAGCACCGGCUAACUU